GGGGCAUUAGCUCAGCUGGGAGAGCGCUACACUGGCAGUGUAGAGGUCAGCGGUUCGAUCCCGCUAUGUUCCACCA
Molecule: transfer RNA, 76 nt
Filed under: Polycladospora coralii
Lineage: Bacteria; Bacillati; Bacillota; Bacilli; Caryophanales; Thermoactinomycetaceae
Description: tRNA-Ala
Rfam family: tRNA
About the family: Transfer RNA (tRNA) molecules are approximately 80 nucleotides in length.
Source: RNAcentral